GGCCGCGGUACUUUGACCGUGCAAAGGUAGCAUAAUCAUUAGUUUUUUAAUUGAAAGCUGGUAUGAAAGGUUGAAUGAGAAAAUAACUGUCUUUUUUAUAAUUUAUUAGAAUUUUAUUUUUAAGUUAAAAAGCUUAAAUUUAAUUUAAAGACGAGAAGACCCUUUAGAGUUUUAUAAAAGAAAAAAUUUUUUUUUUUUUAGAAUUAACCCAAUAAAAAAUUUUUUUUUUUAUUUGGUUGGGGCGAUUAAAAAACUUAAAAAACUUUUUUUAUUAUGAAACAUUUAUUUAUGAAUAUUUGAUCCAUAUUUUAUGAUUAAAAGAAAAAAUUACCUAAGGGAUAACAGCGUUAUUUUUUUUGAGAGUUCAAAUCGAAAAAAAGGAUUGCGACCUCGAUGUUGGAUUAAAA
Molecule: ribosomal RNA, 407 nt
Filed under: Meligethes scotti
Lineage: Eukaryota; Metazoa; Arthropoda; Insecta; Coleoptera; Nitidulidae
Description: partial 16S ribosomal RNA
Rfam family: Bacterial large subunit ribosomal RNA
Source: RNAcentral